This is a long non-coding RNA of Piliocolobus tephrosceles (Ugandan red Colobus), 1647 nucleotides long. RefSeq lists it as uncharacterized. The transcript has 2 exons. Lineage: Eukaryota; Metazoa; Chordata; Mammalia; Primates; Cercopithecidae. The record is from RefSeq and is a predicted model, not a curated record.
AGUAGAGCCAGAGAGAAAUUUGCCCUGGGCCGGAUAUUCAUGAAGGCUUUCCACUUCAGACUCGAUAUCAUCGCCAAGUCAGUGUGUUUGGGAGAAAUCAGAAGCCAACACACUAGAAAACUUGCAGGAAAUUCCUAGGGGAACCCACAAAGUCAGUUCCUUGCUGGAAACAUAUUCAUCCUCCAGAUGAAUCCAGUGCAUUAGAUGGGCUCAGAUGCACAGGUGAUGCAGGCGGACCCCUACUGAAAAGAACAACAGUGGAAGGCAGAUGAAACUCAGAUUGUGGAGUCCGAGAGCCAUGUGGGCCCACUCCAGUUACCUCUACCCCUGGUCCAUGACCAGAGAAUCCUUCAGCAGCAACAGCAGGGAUGUUUAUUUCACUGGUAUGUAUAAAGCGACUGAUUGAAAACAACUUGUAUGCCCAACAACUUGGAACUAGAUAAAUGAUUUUUGGUUCAGUCACACAGUGGAAUAUCAUGCGGCCAUUUAGAGUAAAUAAAAAAUCGUAUACUUUCCAUAUUCAACUUUAAACUGAAAAUAACUGAACAAACAAACACCUUCAUAAUUAGGCUCCCUGAGAUUGGAACAUGAAGUAAAAUCAACAUGUGUCAGAAUGUUAACAACAGCUAACUCUUGGUUGUGAUAUUCUGAGUAACUUGUAUUAUUUUUCAGUUUUUUCCCCCAUUCCUAAUGUGCAAAUGUACUAUUUUUAUUGUAAAAAAUACACAUUUGUAAAGAGCAAUAACAUAAAUCUCUGCACAGGCAGAUUGGAAGGAAAUCAGACAAAACGAUACCUUUUGGUAGUGGAAUUAUAAAUCAUUUUUUUCUUCAUUAGAGUUUCUGAAUGUUCUGCAUUUGAAAUGUUUACCUUUAUGAAGGGUCAAUCAUAUGUAAGAUGAUUUUUUAAAAGACAAGUAGACAGGGAAAGAGAGGUCUGCUGUUGCAAAACCAAAGCUGGAGGCUCUCCAAAGCCCACUUAUGUCAGUCAAUUGAUAUUUCAUGAACCUCUAGAAUGUACAAAUCACUUUCCACUGGGAUUGAGGGGGUGAGAAAUACAGAGAUGAAGGAGAUGCAAACACUUUAAUCAAAGAAAUCACAGUCCAGUUGGGAAAAGAAGGUUUUGCAUUAUAUAAGUAGCAAAGUCUUAUCUGAGAGGUUAGUCUGUCAAGAGUAAUAGCAAUAAUUACACAACAAUAUGUCAGAGUGGCUGGGAGCUCCAGCUUCAAAGCUACCUCGCCUGGGGGGAAACUCGUUUCCAUUUCUUAACCAUAUUGGGCCUGAGCCUCAGUUACCCACCUCUUCUGUAAAUGUAAACUACCUCUUGGGGUCAUUGUGAGGAUUAAAUGAAGCUUGAGCCUAAAGGGGCUGAGCUAGGUGCUUUGCAAAUAGUCCAACCUCAGCAUGAGGCACGUUAUCAUCUUUAUGGCUCUGGUGUUUGUGGUCACCUAUCUGCAAGUCACGCUUUCACAGAUAUGCCAGAGCUGGGAUUGGAAACCACAUUAAUCUAAUUCCAAAGCCAAUGAUUCUACCACAACCAGACACUGCAUUUACUCUCUCUGCCUAACUGAAAUUUGUUCUAAACCUCACCCUAAGGUCUUGCCAGAAAGAAAAGCUAAAUUUUCAUUAAAAGAUGAAAGGAGAAAUGAA